AAUGAGAACAGGUAAUUCACAGUGUUACUGUAAUGUAUACCACUGUGUAUUUCAGCUUUACUGUAUUGCCCUGUUAGCAGAACAAACUGUGUCUACAGUAAUGCAGAUGUUUUAUCAAUCCCAUUUAUGUGACUGUCAUACAGUAAUGUCAAUUUUGACACGCUUUUACUUUAUAGAAUCCACACAUUGCCACACACUGGUGGCAGAGGAAAGCUAUUUAGUAUUGAACAGGAGUCUGCAAUUGUAGAUAUGGUAGUGGCAAACAAUGCAAUCAGACUGCGUGAAAUCCAGGCAGCAGUAAUUGCAGAUCAGGGAGCAUUUAGAAAUAUAAACAGUGUGAGUUUGGCAACUAUAGAUCGAGUCCUUAAACAAAACCAUGUCAGAAUGAAGCAGCUGUACAGAGUUCCAUUUCAAAGAAACUCUGACAUCGUAAAGGAGGCACGAUUCCAGUAUGUGCAGAGAAUAAUGGAGCUUGAAGCUGAAGGGGCACAUCACAAAUUCAUUUUUGUGGAUGAAGCCGGCUUCAACCUCUGUAAAGUGAGGCGACGCGGGAGGAACAUCAUUGGGCAGAGGGCCACUGUCACAGUGACAGGUCAGAGGGGUGCCAAUAUCACCAUGUGUGCUGCCAUCUCCAAUGAUGGAGUCCUUUGCCACAUACCAACUAUUGGCCCAUACAAUACAGAACGUCUCAUCACAUUUCUUGAUGCAUUGAAAGAAUUACUGAUUCCACCCGAAGAGAGAGGGCUGUUGAGGCCUGGCAUGACUCUGUAUGUCAUAAUUUGGGACAAUGUGGCUUUCCACCACUCUCGCCUUGUGAAUGAAUGGUUUGCAGCACAGCCUCGUAUUAUGAUACAAUUCCUCCCUGCAUACUCACUUUUUCUGAACCCAAUCGAGGAGUUCUUCUCUGCUUGGAGGUGGAAGGUGUAUGAUCACCGGCCAUAUGAGCAGAUGCCCCUCCUGGAGGCAAUGAAUGCUGGUUGCCUGGCAAUAGGUGCAGAGGACUGCCAGGGAUGGAUAUGCCAUGCAAGGAGGCAUUUCCCUCGGUGCAUUGCAAGGGAAAACAUUCAAUGCGAUGUUGAUGAGAACCUGUGGCAUAAUCGUCAAGAACGAAUGGACUAAAUGUGAAAGAUAAAAUGUAUAUAUCUUUCUUUCUUUUUUUUUUUUUUUAAAAAGGUAUUUCCACCCAUAAGUUUCCUUUUGGUAGCUUUUUUUUUUUUCCAGUAUCCAUUUGAGUUUGUAAAGUAUCAUAUUUCAUAUUGAUGGCUGCAUUUU
Cyprinus carpio carpio is the source of this 1272-nucleotide long non-coding RNA. The record is from Ensembl. Lineage: Eukaryota; Metazoa; Chordata; Actinopteri; Cypriniformes; Cyprinidae.